Molecule: long non-coding RNA, 2267 nt
Organism: Hibiscus syriacus
Lineage: Eukaryota; Viridiplantae; Streptophyta; Magnoliopsida; Malvales; Malvaceae
Exons: 3
Source: RefSeq, a predicted model, not a curated record
UCUCAUCUUUUUCUCCAUGCCGUAUGCGUUUUGCAGAUUGGAUUUUUCUUCGAUGUCUUUCCUACCGAGGGACCUGUCUUCAGAUCGGCUCGGAUCGGGCCAGCAGCUCCUAUUUGCUGGUUUUAUACGAUGAAAGGAGUAAGCGUUGAUGGAUCUAUGAUUUUAAAGGCCUUUUCUGGCAAGGAAGCAAUCAUUAACUUGAAGAUCCCCAGCACUUCUAGCUUUCGAAAAUGGUCUCAUCAGCGGCCGAGAUUUGGACGAGCGUAUUGAUUUCAGAUGUACGAUAUUAAUAGACGAGGCAUCUGGGCGAUGUGGGAUUGAAUGGUUUGUUCUUGAAAGGAUGUGUAAGAUGUCAGGGCAGAAGGUCCUACUGAUAAUAUUUAUUUGUUAGGGGACUGAGUCCUGAUCUAUCCUUGUCGUCCAAGACCUUUGCCAUGACAGGUGCGCUUGCAUGGCAGGUCGCCCAACUUAAUAAAAAAAUUAUAUUUUUCGGUGUUUUUAGAGGGGAGUUCGCACGGGGUUGCCCGGGUUCUCCCCUCUGCUGCGGUGUCGUAUCGUGUCUCCUGCUCCUUUAUUUUCUUUUUCCCUUCCCCUUUCCCGUUUUCUAUUUUUUGCAACAUACGGGAUGGAUGCUUGCUUCAACAUCAUCACCACCGUCGGAAUAUGCUCAUGAACUCCCAAGCCAUACUACUAGCGUAUCUCAAGGCCAAGGUAUUAACUUACAUAUUUUAACCCAACUUUGACUUAUCUACUUUUACUUUAAAAUUUAAUUUAUUUAUGCAUAUUUAAAUAUGAAAGGAUAAUAAAUUAAUAGACCAUAAAGUUAAAGGGGUCAAGUAGAUUGAAUGGGAAAAAGAUACAUGAUAAGUAAUAUUGAAGAACAUAUAUUUUUUUUCUUAAGUUAUUGAGUCAUAGUUUAAAACUAGCUAUCUAAUCUAAGGUUAUUUAAUUUCGAUGAUGAAUGAGUGAAAUUAAAAAUUGAUUUCGGUAAUGAAUAACUUAUCAUGAAAUAAAUUUAACAUUAUUUUUAAUGAACAUCUUUAAGUUAGAAGUCCAAUUUAAAGCAGUGCAAUUUUUAAUAUUAUACGCUGCAUUGAUUUUUAUGUGUACCUUCUUUUAAUUAAGAGUUUCUCGUAAUAACGAAUUAAAAAAAUUGGCAACUCUCUAAAAAAGUUGAACUAUCUAUCUUCAUUUCAUGUCUCACAAGAUCAAUUGAGGAAUCACCAUUUCAAUCAAAUGUUAGUAGCACUGAAACACUUGUUUAUGUGAUCGUAUUUCCUUUAAUUUCUAUAUAUGCUAGCCAUUUAAUCUAUUGACCAUUAAAGUAGUAUUAUGGUAUAUUUUAAAUAAGAUUUUAAAUAGUGCUUGGUGAUUUGGAUUUUUUUUUUUUUACAAAUUUGAUUUGAAUUUUUGUUGGGAUUUUCUUUGAAAUGAUUCACUCGAUUGAAUCGAUAUGAUUCAUAUAUUUUGAAAAUUGUUUUAUAUAAGCUCAUUUACAUAUUGUUUUUAUGCUCCCUAGUCUUCACGGAGAAUUUUCUCACAACCUAAAUGAAUCAUUUAACGUUCGAACUAACUUUAAAAUGUCAACCCCAACCGUGUAGUUUAUUGGGUUUUCUUCUUUUUCUCCCCGUCUGAAUGCUCUUGGAAACAUGUGUAUUUUGCUUGUAUAUAGCUCUUUAUAGUUGUUUACGUUCUUGCACAGGCUUUUGUUUACAUUGGAUUUAAGGUUGCAAGUUACUUCCUCUUUAGAAGAUAUCGAUGGAAGAAGUGUUGAAAGUCCAAGGAAAUUAGACAGCACAUGGGAUGUUAAAUGGGUGCUGCAAAUGGUUUAAAUUAUGCAGUCAUUUUAGUUGAAAAUGUGCAAGGGGCCAAUGUAAUUAAUCCAAGAUCAAAUCCAAAAGCAGCGCUACUAGGCCCGACAGUCUAAGUCCAGCAUAUGGGAAGCCCACGUUUCAAGACCCUAUGGGAGCUAGAGCUUCAUCUUUGUCCUUCAGCGCCUUACGAUCCUAGCUGUUAGAUCAGAGUGCAAUCUGAUAGUCCAAAUUGAGAGCGUUUUUAGGGUUCAUGGAGAGUCCUCAUUCCAGUCGUCAAUCAGCCAAAGAUAGCUUCAACCAUCCUAGAGUUUUCGUCGUAUUUUGGAAGAGAUUAUCUCUUAGUGAGAAAGGGAUUUUGGGAAAAUCAAGAAAAAUAGAAAAUAAUGUAGUGCUUUAGUCCAUUGGAACUUUAAAUAAAAUGAGAUCCCUAAGUCUAUAAAUCCCUGCAAAAAA